GGAGGUGGCCGCCGGCGGGAGGGCGCGCUCAGCAGGGCCGGCGAUCGCCCUGCCAGCCCCCCUCGUGGGCCCCCGGGAACCGGCGGGAGGGGGCGGGGCGGGGAGGCCACGCCCCCGGGCAAAAGAGGGGCUCUUUUUCUAUACCAGGGCAACCAUGGCCUGGGAGCGCACGACGCGGCAGCAACCUCGUUGGAGAGCCCUGAGCAACAAUCAAUGGUAUCAGGAAGAUGGAGAGUAAAGAUAGUUUCAGAUUGACACACAUCGUGCAAUAGUUGAAUUUCUCCGAUUUGCGGAAAACCUCCCGGAGGGGACGUUCAUCGUAACAGUAGUCACACGGACCAAAUACGGUAGCCAAAAAGGUAUGAAAAUUGGACCACUUUGCCUUUUUGCUUCUUUCCCACCUACGUUCUUGAAAAGAGCCUAUGGAUGUCCCAGAACAAGCUGGCCACCCCACCGGCCAGCCCAAACAGGACAAGAGGACGGGCCUCUGCCCCAGCAGUACAGUUGGGCACUGCAGUGAGCAUCCCCCUGUACAAAACUUUGCCAGGAUUUGAGGCUUUCAGCCAAGUGCCAGAAACCAUUUCCAUGUGUGACCUUUUAAAACUCACAUCAAAAACACUACAAAAUGCUUGAUGCCUGAUAUUGCAAGCAAGAAAGAGAGAUAAAACAAUUACCUACCUUUGUUCUCAGAGCUAAAUGCUUAGAAGCGUCUGGAAGGCAAGUAAGCAGACAAGCUGUGUGCAAGUAGAAAUGCGCCAGGAGAAACUUAAUGCAGAGCUAAUCUACUUAGAAGGUAUUUAAAAUACAAGUGUGCACUUCUGGAUUUUAAAGCCUUGUGGUAUUUCCGUACUCUUGGUUUAGGUUCCAGGAAUUAAAGUUAGUCCUCAGUCACUGAAGAUAAAUUCUUGAAUAAAGA
Eublepharis macularius is the source of this 916-nucleotide long non-coding RNA. RefSeq lists it as uncharacterized. Lineage: Eukaryota; Metazoa; Chordata; Lepidosauria; Squamata; Eublepharidae. The record is from RefSeq and is a predicted model, not a curated record. The transcript has 3 exons.